RNAcentral lists this small RNA (125 nucleotides) under Marmota monax (woodchuck). The record is from RNAcentral. Lineage: Eukaryota; Metazoa; Chordata; Mammalia; Rodentia; Sciuridae.
GCUGAGCAUGGUGGCGCAUGCCUGUAAUCCUAGAUGCUUGGGAAGCUGAAGCAGGAGGAUCAUGAGUUCAAAGCCAGCCUCAGCAGUGGCGAGGUGCUUAGCAAUUCAAUGAGACCCUGUCUCUA